UCCUAGCCCUGAUGGGAGCGGCAUCCUUUUAUGGUGGGGUUCACCAUAAAAGAUAUAGCAGACAGCAGGAAACAGC
Molecule: small RNA, 76 nt
Filed under: Flavobacterium sp. fv08
Lineage: Bacteria; Pseudomonadati; Bacteroidota; Flavobacteriia; Flavobacteriales; Flavobacteriaceae
Also listed under: 1 other name
Description: Flavo-1 RNA
Rfam family: Flavo-1 RNA
Source: RNAcentral